This 2449-nucleotide small RNA is filed under the name Pongo abelii (Sumatran orangutan). RNAcentral describes it as "retained intron". Lineage: Eukaryota; Metazoa; Chordata; Mammalia; Primates; Hominidae. The record is from RNAcentral.
CGGACGGUGGACGCUGGGACGCGUUUGUAGCACUGGCCCCGCCGUUCCGACCCCCCGCCGCCGUCGCCGCCGCCAUGACGGGGCUAGCACUGCUCUACUCCGGGGUCUUCGUGGCCUUCUGGGCCUGCGCGCUGGCCGUGGGUGAGGCCGGGUCCUGGCGGGCGGGAGCAGCAUCGCGGCCGAGCUGGCCGGGUCGGAACUCGGCGGGGAAGUGGCCUGCGGGGAAUACUGGUCCCCCGUGCGCUCUGCACCCGAGGCUCUGGGGACUUGCGCUUGCGAGGGCCUCUGACCCCGACAAAGGAGACCUGGAUCUCCAGCUGCUUGAGGAGGGGUGCGGGCGGGUAGGGGCCGCGAGGGCAGCACUCCCCCGUCCUGACACUAUCGCUGUCUCCCCUCGCUCCCACGUCUUACUGCCGUCCCCCCUUUCUUGCUCCUGACCGGCCCGCUUGGUCACAAGCCGGCUGCUCCGGUUCCUCUUUUUCUGGUCGCUUUGCCCUCCCCCACCCACAGCUUGUUGGGUAAACAGCGGAACGGACUGGGCCGGCGGGAUCUGGCGCGGCGUUGCUGGAGCGCUUGCUCCCUCGGUCCCGCCUCGGAUUUGGGCUUGCGGGUGGCGACCCUGCCUGCGCAGGUGCUUGGUCUGGGAGGUGGUUUUAGCGAGGGAGUGGCAGAAAAUGGAGGCCUAAGCAGAGGAAUCUGUCUACACAGCUGUACUGUCACCUGGGGGCAGCCUGAGGACGCCCCUUUAGGGAGGUGGCCCUUCAGCUCGGCAGCUACUUUAGGUUGACGAACUUCUCUCUACAGAGCAGUCCGUAACCCCCUUUUUUUUCCUCACUGCUGCAGGAGUCUGCUACACCAUUUUUGAUUUGGGCUUCCGCUUUGAUGUGGCAUGGUUCCUGACGGAGACUUCGCCCUUCAUGUGGUCCAACCUGGGCAUUGGCCUAGCUAUCUCCCUGUCUGUGGUUGGGGCAGCCUGGGGCAUCUAUAUUACCGGCUCCUCCAUCAUUGGUGGAGGAGUGAAGGCCCCCAGGAUCAAGACCAAGAACCUGGUCAGCAUCAUCUUCUGUGAGGCUGUGGCCAUCUACGGCAUCAUCAUGGCAAUUGUCAUUAGCAACAUGGCUGAGCCUUUCAGUGCCACAGACCCCAAGGCCAUUGGCCAUCGGAACUACCAUGCAGGCUACUCCAUGUUUGGGGCUGGCCUCACCGUAGGCCUGUCUAACCUCUUCUGUGGAGUCUGCGUGGGCAUCGUGGGCAGUGGGGCUGCCCUGGCCGAUGCUCAGAACCCCAGCCUCUUUGUAAAGAUUCUCAUCGUGGAGAUCUUUGGCAGCGCCAUUGGCCUCUUUGGGGUCAUCGUCGCAAUUCUUCAGGUGAUGAAUCCCCUUGGGGAGCCUCUGUGUCCUUGUCCCCAACCUAGCCUUACCCUCCGUCUGGAGAAGCUGAAGUGCUCUCCUUCUCUACCUAUAACUAUAGAUUCCCCCAAACAGCUUCCACCUCCUCAUUUCCAUCUUCUGGUUUUCUCCUACAGGGGCUCUCUAUUUUUGUCUCUGAUUUGGUAUCACUGACAACAGCCCUGGUUUUUUUUUCCCCCUUUCUAAUGCUUUGUAUCUGUAUAGCUCUUAGUCUCUCCCUCCUUCUGUUCUCUCAUUUUAUAUGCCAUGCUUUUCAUGUCUCCAGUCUGUAUUUUUGAUCUAGACUAGGAUGGAAUUUUGUCUGUCUAUAUCAGUCUGUCAUGGUGUGUUUGACUGUCUCUCAGAGCUAUGUGUAUCUCUCUCUCACAUGCCUGUCAGUAGGACACCAUUGUCUAAAUUGUGUGUGUCUAGUCUGUCUGACAGUGUGUGAGUUUGUGACUAAGGAUCAGCCUGAGGGUCUGAGUGUGACUGUGGGUGCUUGACUGAGUUGAUUCUUAGUGACUAGCUUUAUCCAUAUGCCACUUCUCUCCGUCUGUCCCACAGCGUAACUCUGUGGUUGUCUGUCCCUGUCUGCCUUGUCUGUCACAGUGUGUCCAUCCUGGUUAGUCAUACAUCUCUUGUGGUCUGUCCAUCCAACCAUGUGCUAGGUCUCAUCUUCUGUCAUUUGUCACUGCCUUACCUAUUCCUCUGUCCCUGCCUGAUUUCUCCUGUUCUUUUUUUUGCAGACCUCCAGAGUGAAGAUGGGUGACUAGAUGAUAUGUGUGGGUGGGGCCAUGCCUCACUUCUAUUUAUUGCUGGUUUUCCUGGGACAGGUGGAGCUGUGUCCCUUAGCCUUUCAGAGGCUUGGUGUUCAGGGCCCUCCCUGCACUCACCUCUUGCUGCGUGUUGAUUUGGAGGCACUGAAGUCCAGGCCGAGUCCUCAGUGCGGGGAGCAGGCUGCUGCUGCUGGCUCUGUGCAGCUGCGCACCUGUGUCCCCCACCUCCACCCUCAACCCAUCUUCCUAGUGUUUGUGAAAUAAACUUGGUAUUUGUCUGGGUCA